AGUGAACGCUGGCGGUAGGCCUAACACAUGCAAGUCGAACGGCAGCACAGUAAGAGCUUGCUCUUACGGUGGCGAGUGGCGGACGGGUGAGGAAUACAUCGGAAUCUACUUUUUCGUGGGGGAUAACGUAGGGAAACUUACGCUAAUACCGCAUACGACCUACGGGUGAAAGCAGGGGAUCUUCGGACCUUGCGCGAUUGAAUGAGCCGAUGUCGGAUUAGCUAGUUGGCGGGGUAAAGGCCCACCAAGGCGACGAUCCGUAGCUGGUCUGAGAGGAUGAUCAGCCACACUGGAACUGAGACACGGUCCAGACUCCUACGGGAGGCAGCAGUGGGGAAUAUUGGACAAUGGGCGAAAGCCUGAUCCAGCCAUACCGCGUGGGUGAAGAAGGCCUUCGGGUUGUAAAGCCCUUUUGUUGGGAAAGAAAAGCAGCAGGUUAAUACCCCGCUGUUCCGACGGUACCCAAAGAAUAAGCACCGGCUAACUUCGUG
Molecule: ribosomal RNA, 491 nt
Filed under: uncultured bacterium
Lineage: Bacteria
Description: partial 16S ribosomal RNA
Rfam family: Bacterial small subunit ribosomal RNA
Source: RNAcentral